RNAcentral lists this ribosomal RNA (301 nucleotides) under uncultured bacterium. Its description in RNAcentral is "partial 16S ribosomal RNA". It matches the Rfam family "Bacterial small subunit ribosomal RNA", at positions 509 to 807 of the family's 1533-position model. The record is from RNAcentral.
CAGCAGCCGCGGUAAUACGAAGGGUGCAAGCGUUAAUCGGAAUUACUGGGCGUAAAGCGUGCGUAGGCGGUGAGUUAAGUCUGCUGUGAAAUCCCCGGGCUCAACCUGGGAACUGCAUUUGUGACUGGCAAGCUAGAGUAUGGCAGAGGGGGGUGGAAUUCCGCGUGUAGCAGUGAAAUGCGUAGAUGUGCGGAGGAACACCGAUGGCGAAGGCAGCCCCCUGGGCCAAUACUGACGCUGAGGCACGAAAGCGUGGGGAGCAAACAGGAUUAGAUACCCCAGUAGUCCCUGUCUCUUAUAC